Ciona intestinalis (vase tunicate) is the source of this 191-nucleotide non-coding RNA. The record is from RefSeq and is a predicted model, not a curated record. NCBI's taxonomy places the organism in Eukaryota, Metazoa, Chordata, Ascidiacea, Phlebobranchia, Cionidae.
AGAUUGUAUUAUACCACCCACAAAGUAACAUACAUGGUAACUCGUAAGCUGGCAAAAUGUAUUAAAUUCGUGUGAUAACGACUGUCGUUUUCUGGCCAGGCGAGGAUAAAAACUGUGCGAAUCACAGUGCGUACCAGGAAAAUAUGGCGUUGAUUGUCAAUAUCAGUGCACUUGUGAUAUAAGCAAGUCUA